GCAUUAUUAGCGGCGUGGCUUCUUUCACAGACAGGUUGAUGGUGACACAGGUGGCCGUAGUUGCUAACUGUCUACUAGCUUCACCUGAACUGGACCUCUGGAUCGUGUUUGCGCUGUUGGAGCCAUUUGGAGCAUUUCUAAUGACAUCAUGUGGCCAAUAAUAAGGCUGCUGUGAGGUCACUGUACUAACAGACCGUCCAAGACGAGGAUGUCAAACUUACUCUACAUGAUGCGCCACAUACAGCUCACUCAGACCUGAACUGGAUCAUACCAGUCUCCUUUCUGUCAGUGUGAAGAAGCCUAACCUCUUAAAUUUAACCUCUGUAAAAUGUUCAUACUAGAAAAAGAAGCACAAGUGAGUGUCACCACCAGCAACUUUCACAAACUCUCAGUGUGAGCUCAGCUCAUUUGAGGCUCCCCAGCGCUGCAUCGCUGGCACCAUCAGACGUCCUGCUUUCGCCUGUGACCUUCUCCUCUGUGAUGCUGGUCCGUUCAGUGCAGCUUCACCUGAAAUCUGCCUGAGGUCUCAGGAGCCAACAUGGAGGACGAGAUCACCUGAACUGAGCUCCUCGCUGCGGAACUGCUGUAAUACCAACAUUCAUGUCGGCUCUACCACGUCAGCAUCAGGGUGAAGCUGGAGACUCUCAUCAUAUUGUUGCCACAGCGAUCAUUGCAGAUCUGAUGGGUUUCUGUCCUGUGAAAAGACUCACCCGUGUCUGCGCUGACGUCUCGGACCUCGCCUCACGCCAGCAGGCUCUUUAAUCCACUUCAUCACUGCUGUGAACAGGACUCAGUGUCUUCAUCGCAUCAUGUACGAAACACUUUAGAUUCUGUUAGCAAGAAGUGCCCCCUGCUGCCAGAGGCUCAGCAGUGACUACAGCAUCUGGAGAUUACAUUUCAAAUAUAUUUAAUCAAUCUAUAAUCUAUAUUUAAUCUAUAAUCCAUCUAUAAUCUGUACCUUAUUCAUCUACAGUUCAUCCUAAAUUUCAUUAAUCCCAUCGACUGAGCAGUUUUGAAUGAUUCUGGUAAAAGUGUUUGUGAUCUGGCUUCCAUCGUCUGAGGUCUCCAGUUCAUGUGACGUACAGUGGCUUGCAAAAGUAUUCCGCCCCCUUGAAUUUUUCCACAUUUUGUCACAUUACACUCUAUACACCUGGGGCUUAGAGUCCGCUUGGGAAGUGUGAUUGUGUGUACAGUGUCUAUUUAUGUCUGUCUC
Oreochromis niloticus (Nile tilapia) is the source of this 1213-nucleotide long non-coding RNA. RefSeq lists it as uncharacterized. The record is from RefSeq and is a predicted model, not a curated record. The transcript has 3 exons. NCBI's taxonomy places the organism in Eukaryota, Metazoa, Chordata, Actinopteri, Cichliformes, Cichlidae.